GGGGGAAAGAAAUGUUGUAAAAAUGGUAAAAUACAGUCACGUACCACAUAACAUUUUGGUCAACAGACUGCAUACAUCAGUGGCUCCACAAAAUUGUAAUACUGUAUUUUUACUGGACCUUUUCUAUGUUUAGAUAUGUUUAGGCAGACAAAGGUUUACCAUUGUGUUCCAACUGCCUAUAGUAUUCAGUAGAGUAACAUGCUGUACAGUCAUGUAGCCUAGGAGCCAUAGGCUAUACCAUAUAGCCUAGGUGUGUAGGAGGCUACACUAUCUAGGUUUGUAUAAGGACACUAUGAUAUGCACACAAUGAUGAAAUCACCUAAUGACUCAUUUCUCAGAACAUAUCCCGAUUGUUAAGUGAGGCAUGAUGAGAUAGAUAGAUAGAUAGAUAGAUAGAUAGAUAGAUAGAUAAUCAUAUACACAAACACACACAUAAAAUCUUCAGGUCCAAGCACAGCAUAUAUAAGCAAGAUGAAUGCAAAGAAAUUCAUAGCUAGACAUAUUGCAGUGAAACCACAGAACAUCAAAGACAGAGAAGACUUAAAAGCUCACAGGGGAAAGGGGCAGAUAACCUUCAAAAACACUACAUUUAGAUCAUCACCUGAGUUUUCAGGCAAAGCAACAGAAGCCAAAAGACUCUGGAAUAACAUCUCCAAAAUUCUAAAAGAAAACAACCAUCAUUCUAGAAUUGCGCUUCAGGCAAAUGUGUCUUUUAAGAAUGAGUGUGAAAUGAUGACACUUCCAUAUAAACAAAAACUGAGAGAUUUUUACCACCGAUAAAUUCCCACUAAAAGAAUACUAAAAAAAAAAAAAAAAAAAUAGCCCAGAAAAAAAAAUUUCGAGUGUAAGAAGAAUAGUUAGCAAGUAAGCUUACAAACUAGGAGAUAAAUCUAAAACAUUAUCUAUAUAAAAUAUUAAUAGUAACAAUCUGAUUUGUGAGAAUUUAAGAUGAGAUUGAAACUACUGACAACAUUGACAUUUAAGUAAUGGGGAAGUCAUUGACAUUAAAGUAUCAUAAAGUCCUUACAGUAUUUGGAAGGGGAAGUUAAGAUAUUUAUGGGCUUUCAAUUUUCCUUGAUACACACAAUAAAAUUUCAAGGGAGAGAUGAUAGAAAAGAGGUUUUAAAUUUUUGGAAUUUUAGAAUUUUUAGAAUCUUAAUAUUUGAAUUUGGAAUUUUAAAAUUCCAACAAGUAAAGGGAAAAGCAGAGUUUGAAAACAAAACAAAAACAAACAAAAAACCUCAAUUUAAAGAAAAGAAAGAAAAGAAGCAUGAAGAAAAAUGGAAUAAAUCUUAGAAACCAUAUAGUGUGAACAAAGCAAGUCUUAAAAUAUUAUUUAAGGCCAGGCACAGUGACUCGCACCUAUAAUCCCAGCACUUUGGGUGGCCAAGGCAGGCAGAUCACAAGGUCAGGAGUUCGAGACCAGCCUGACCAACAUGGUGAAACCUCGUCUCUACUAAAAAUACAAAAAUCAGCCAGGCAUGGUGGCAC
Molecule: long non-coding RNA, 1491 nt
Filed under: Homo sapiens (human)
Lineage: Eukaryota; Metazoa; Chordata; Mammalia; Primates; Hominidae
Description: HSALNT0228207
Source: RNAcentral